AGUGGAAUUAUUUCUUUUGAUGGAAGAAAACUGACAUACUCUUUCACUU
RNAcentral lists this transfer RNA (49 nucleotides) under Leptotrombidium akamushi. RNAcentral's name for it is "tRNA-Ile". Lineage: Eukaryota; Metazoa; Arthropoda; Arachnida; Trombidiformes; Trombiculidae. The record is from RNAcentral.